AAGUAUUUAGAAACGGAGGUAGUA
RNAcentral lists this microRNA (24 nucleotides) under Zea mays. RNAcentral describes it as "microRNA miR-3107". Lineage: Eukaryota; Viridiplantae; Streptophyta; Magnoliopsida; Poales; Poaceae. The record is from RNAcentral.